This 400-nucleotide unclassified non-coding RNA is filed under the name Hevea brasiliensis (rubber tree). Lineage: Eukaryota; Viridiplantae; Streptophyta; Magnoliopsida; Malpighiales; Euphorbiaceae. The record is from RNAcentral.
AAAGGUUACAAGAAAUUAUACAUAAAACACAUUAUAAUGAACUAAUGGUCACCUAAAUGACUAGAUAAGUAACUACUGUCUAUAGAUGAUUAAUUAACAACAGAAUCAUACUGUUUUCUCUCUUCUUGUAUAGACUGAAAAAUCCGAGCAGCAGAUUCUGUGGCAGACCUUGCAUUACGCGGUACGACUUUGAUGACUCGAGCAUGAUGACUAGGCAGUUGAGGUUGGGAGCUUAUAUCCAGGUUCUUGGUAGCUGGUGAAGUUGGGAAUAGAGGAAGAACGUUUCUUCGUUCUGUGGCGUUGUCCACAGUUAUUUUGUUAGCUGUUCCACUUGGACUGCUUGCAGUGCUGGCCUGCAUUUCAGCAUCUCUACAGGAACGAGAUUUCACCUCUGGGAAAG